AUUGAACGCUGGCGGCAGGCCUAACACAUGCAAGUCGAACGGUAACAGGAAGAAGCUUGCUUCUUUGCUGACGAGUGGCGGACGGGUGAGUAAUGUCUGGGAAACUGCCUGAUGGAGGGGGAUAACUACUGGAAACGGUAGCUAAUACCGCAUAACGUCUCAAGACCAAAGAGGGGGACCUUCGGGCCUCUUGCCAUCGGCUGUGCCCAGAUGGGAUUAGCUAGUAGGUGGGGUAACGGCUCACCUAGGCGACGAUCCCUAGCUGGUCUGAGAGGAUGACCAGCCACACUGGAACUGAGACACGGUCCAGACUCCUACGGGAGGCAGCAGUGGGGAAUAUUGCACAAUGGGCGAAAGCCUGAUGCAGCCAUGCCGCGUGUAUGAAGAAGGCCUUCGGGUUGUAAAGUACUUUCAGCGGGGAGGAAGGGAGUAAAGUUAAUACCUUUGCUCAUUGACGUUACCCGCAGAAGAAGCACCGGCUAACUCCGUG
RNAcentral lists this ribosomal RNA (490 nucleotides) under uncultured bacterium. Its description in RNAcentral is "partial 16S ribosomal RNA". It matches the Rfam family "Bacterial small subunit ribosomal RNA", at positions 30 to 507 of the family's 1533-position model. The record is from RNAcentral.